CUUCCGUAGGUGAACCUGCGGAGGGAUCAUUACCGAGUUAUACAACUCAUCAACCCUGUGAACAUACCUAAAACGUUGCCUCGGCGGGAACAGACGGCCCCGUAACACGGGCCGCCCCCGCCAGAGGACCCCCUAACUCUGUUUCUAUAAUGUUUCUUCUGAGUAAACAAGCAAAUAAAUUAAAACUUUCAACAACGGAUCUCUUGGCUCUGGCAUCGAUGAAGAACGCAGCGAAAUGCGAUAAGUAAUGUGAAUUGCAGAAUUCAGUGAAUCAUCGAAUCUUUGAACGCACAUUGCGCCCGCCAGUAUUCUGGCGGGCAUGCCUGUUCGAGCGUCAUUACAACCCUCAGGCCCCCGGGCCUGGCGUUGGGGAUCGGCGGAAGCCCCCUGCGGGCACAACGCCGUCCCCCAAAUACAGUGGCGGUCCCGCCGCAGCUUCCAUUGCGUAGUAGCUAACACCUCGCAACUGGAGAGCGGCGCGGCCACGCCGUAAAACACCCAACUUCUGAAUGUUGACCUCGAAUCAGGUAGGAAUACCCGCUGAACUUAAGCAUAUCAAUAAGCGGAGGAA
This 571-nucleotide ribosomal RNA is filed under the name Fusarium sp. BAB-4825. Its description in RNAcentral is "eukaryotic LSU rRNA". The stretch from base 184 to 337 matches the Rfam family "5.8S ribosomal RNA". The record is from RNAcentral. Lineage: Eukaryota; Fungi; Ascomycota; Sordariomycetes; Hypocreales; Nectriaceae.